This 431-nucleotide ribosomal RNA is filed under the name uncultured bacterium. RNAcentral's name for it is "bacterial SSU rRNA". It matches the Rfam family "Bacterial small subunit ribosomal RNA", at positions 958 to 1392 of the family's 1533-position model. The record is from RNAcentral.
AACGCGAAGAACCUUACCAAGGCUUGACAUAUACAGGAAUACGGCAGAGAUGUCGUAGCCGCAAGGUCUGUAUACAGGUGGUGCAUGGUUGUCGUCAGCUCGUGUCGUGAGAUGUUGGGUUAAGUCCCGCAACGAGCGCAACCCUCGUUCUGUGUUGCCAGCAUUUAGUUGGGGACUCACAGGAGACUGCCGGGGUUAACUCGGAGGAAGGUGGGGAUGACGUCAAAUCAUCAUGCCCCUUAUGUCUUGGGCUGCACGCAUGCUACAAUGGCUGGUACAAACGGCUGCAAUACCGCAAGGUGGAGCGAAUCCGAGAAAGCCAGUCUCAGUUCGGAUUGGGGUCUGCAACUCGACCCCAUGAAGUCGGAGUUGCUAGUAACCGUAGAUCAGCAACGCUACGGUGAAUACGUUCCCGGGUCUUGUACACACCG